RNAcentral lists this transfer RNA (90 nucleotides) under Biscogniauxia marginata. Its description in RNAcentral is "tRNA-Ser". It matches the Rfam family "tRNA". Rfam says of the family: Transfer RNA (tRNA) molecules are approximately 80 nucleotides in length. Their secondary structure includes four short double-helical elements and three loops (D, anti-codon, and T loops). Lineage: Eukaryota; Fungi; Ascomycota; Sordariomycetes; Xylariales; Xylariaceae. The record is from RNAcentral.
GGCAUGAUGGCGGAGUGGUUAACGCGCUGCCCUGCUAUUUAUAGAGAGGCAGUUCCCUCGGGAGCGCAGGUUCGAAUCCUGCUCAUGUCG